CCGAAAACAUGCUGAUGGUUGUUUCCUCCCCGUUUGUUUAUAAAACCACAUCUGUGUAAUCAAAAUGUAUUAUAGAAUCAAUUAUAGAAUCAAAAUGGCCACUCCACAGAAGUCUGCUGUCAGAUUUGUGUUCAUAAUGCUUUUCAUUAUGAUUGCAUCAGAUGUAUGCAUGAAAUCGGAGGCAAGAAACGUUGUGAGUCUACGUUGCAGCAAUGAAGAGAAUUGUGAAUUGCUUUGUCCAGAUUGUAAUUGUAAAUGUAUUGACACUUGGUGUUUUUGCCCUGGAGUCCCUCUUCCUUUUACCAACAAUAACUUCACUCCAACCCCUUGAAUUCGAGUAUUUGCAACACUUGACUUCAAUAACAAAAUAUUAUGUAUUAGUAUUGCCUCUCAGUAGUAUGUCUGCAAAUUAAUAAUAUAUGAAAUUUUAACUUCA
This is a long non-coding RNA of Vigna unguiculata (cowpea), 436 nucleotides long. RefSeq lists it as uncharacterized. The record is from RefSeq and is a predicted model, not a curated record. NCBI's taxonomy places the organism in Eukaryota, Viridiplantae, Streptophyta, Magnoliopsida, Fabales, Fabaceae.